GAAAUGCACCCGUUUUGCAUCGUUUUUCGUGCCGGAACCGAAUGCCCAAAAACACUCCCAAACAUGUUCUAGUGCAUAUUUAGGAAGAUUGCAUGCGUUCGUUGCGAAAAAAUCCACCCGAGUUUCGCUACCCGGCAAUAGUGCAUUCGGGUGCCGAAAUGCACCCGUUUUGCAUCGUUUUUCGUGCCGGAACCGAAUGCCCAAAAACACUCCCAAACAUGUUCUAGUGCAUAUUUAGGAAGAUUGCAUGCGUUCGUUGCGAAAAAAUCCACCCGAGUUUCGCUACCCGGCAAUAGUGCAUUCGGGUGCCGAAAUGCACCCGUUUUGCAUCAUUUUUCGUGCCGGAACCGAAUGCCCAAAAACACUCCCAAACAUGUUCUAGUGCAUAUUUAGGAAGAUUGCAUGCGUUCGUUGCGAAAAAAUCCACCCGAGUUUCGCUACCCGGCAAUAGUGCAUUCGGGUGCCGAAAUGCACCCGUUUUGCAUCAUUUUUCGUGCCGGAACCGAAUGCCCAAAAACACUCCCAAACAUGUUCUAGUGCAUAUUUAGGAAGAUUGCAUGCGUUCGUUGCGAAAAAAUCCACCCGAGUUUCGCUACCCGGCAAUAGUGCAUUCGCGUGCCGAAAUGCACCCGUUUUGCAUCAUUUUUCGUGCCGGAACCGAAUGCCCAAAAACACUCCCAAAUAUGUUCUAGUGCAUAUUUAGGAAGAUUGCAUGCGUUCGUUGCGAAAAAAUCCACCCGAGUUUCGCUACCCGGCAAUACUGCAUUCGGGUGUCGAAAUGCACCCGUUUUGCAUCGUUUUUGGUGCCGGAACCAAAUGCACAAAAACACUCCCAAACAUGUUCUAGUGCAUAUUUAGGAAGAUUGCAUGCGUUCGUUGCGAAAAAAUCCACUCGAGUUUCGCUACCCGGCAAUAGUACAUUCGGCUGCCGAAAUGCACCCGUUUUGCAUCAUUUUUCGUGCUGAAACCGAAUGCCCAAAAACACUCCCAAACAUGUUCUAGUGCAUAUUUAGGAAGAUGGCAUGCGUUCGUUGCGAAAAAAUCCACCCGAGUUUCGCUACCCGGCAAUAGUGCAUUCGGGUGCCGAAAUGCACCCGUUUUGCAUCGUUUUUCGUGCCGGAACCGAAUGCCCAAAAACACUCCCAAACAUGUUCUAGUGCAUAUUUAGGAAGAUUGCAUGCGUUCGUUGCGAAAAAAUCCACCCGAGUUUCGCUACCCGGCAAUACUGCAUUCGGGUGUCGAAAUGCACCCGUUUUGCAUCGUUUUUCGUGCCGGAACCGAAUGCCCAAAAACACUCCCAAACAUGUUCUAGUGCAUAUUUAGGAAGAUUGCAUGCGUUCGUUGCGAAAAAAUCCACCCGAGUUUCGCUACCCGGCAAUACUGUAUUCGGGUGUCCGACAUGCACCCGUUUUGCAUCGUUUUUCGUGCCGGAACCAAAUGCACAAAAACACUCCCAAACAUGUUCUAGUGCAUAUUUAGGAAGAUUGCAUGCGUUCGUUGCGAAAAAAUCCACCCGAGUUUCGCUACCCGGCAAUAGUGCAUUCGGGUGCCGAAAUGCACCCGUUUUGCAUCAUUUUUCGUGCAAGAACCGAAUGGCCAAAAACACUCCCAAACAUGUUCUAGUGCAUAUUUACGAAGAUUGCAUGCGUUCGUUGCGAAAAAAUCCACCCGAGUUUCGCUACCCGGCAAUAGUGCAUUCGGGUGCCGAAAUGCACCCGUUUUGCAUCAUUUUUCGUGCCGGAACCGAAUGCCCAAAAACACUCCCAAAUAUGUUCUAGUGCAUAUUUAGGAAUAUUGCAUGCGUUCGUUGCGAAAAAAUCCACCCGAGUUUCGCUACCCGGCAAUACUGUCAUUCGGGUGUCGACAUGCACCCGUUUUGCAUCGUUUUUCGUGCCGGAACCAAAUGCACAAAAACACUCCCAAACAUGUUCUAGUGCAUAUUUAGGAAGAUUGCAUGCGUUCGUUGCGAAAAAAUCCACCCGAGUUUCGCUACGCGGUAAUAGUGCAUUCGGGUGCCGAAAUGCACCCGUUUUGCAUCAUUUUUCGUGCCGGAACCGAAUGCCCAAAAACACUCCCAAACAUGUCCUAGUGCAUAUUUAGGAAGAUUGCAUGCGUUCGUUGCGAAAAAAUCCACCCGAGUUUCGCUACCCGGCAAUAGUGCAUUCGGGUGCCGAAAUGCACCCGUUUUGCAUCGUUUUUCGUGCCGGAACCGAAUGCCCAAAAACACUCCCAAACAUGUUCUAGUGCAUAUUUAGGAAGAUUGCAUGCGUUCGUUGCGAAAAAAUCCACCCGAGUUUCGCUACCCGGCAAUACUGCAUUCGGGUGCCGAAAUGCACCCGUUUUGCAUCCUUUUUCAGUGCCGGAACCGAAUGCCCAAAAACACUCCCAAACAUGUUCUAGUGCAUAUUUAGGAAGAUUGCAUGCGUUCGUUGCGAAAAAAUCCACCCGAGUUUCGCUACCCGGCAAUAGUGCAUUCGGGUGCCGAAAUGCACCCGUUUUGCAUCGUUUUUCGUGCCGGAACCGAAUGCCCAAAAACACUCCCAAACAUGUUCUAGUGCAUAUUUAGGAAGAUUGCAUGCGUUCGUUGCGAAAAAAUCCACCCGAGUUUCGCUACCCGGCAAUAGUGCAUUCGGGUGCCGAAAUGCACCCGUUUUGCAUCGUUUUUCGUGCCGGAACCGAAUGCCCAAAAACACUCCCAAACAUGUUCUAGUGCAUAUUUAGGAAGAUUGCAUGCGUUCGUUGCGAAAAAAUCCACCCGAGUUUCGCUACCCGGCAAUACUGCAUUCGGGUGCCGAAAUGCACCCGUUUUGCAUCAUUUUUCGUGCCGGAACCGAAUGCCCAAAAACACUCCCAAACAUGUUCUAGUGCAUAUUUAGGAAGAUUGCAUGCGUUCGUUGCGAAAAAAUUCACCCGAGUUUCGCUACCCGGCAAUAGUGCAUUCGGGUGCCGAAAUGCACCCGUUUUGCAUCAUUUUUCGUGCCGGAACCGAAUGCCCAAAAACACUCCCAAACAUGUUCUAGUGCAUAUUUAGGAAGAUUGCAUGCGUUCGUUGCGAAAAAAUCCACCCGAGUUUCGCUACCCGGCAAUAGUGCAUUCGCGUGCCGAAAUGCACCCGUUUUGCAUCAUUUUUCGUGCCGGAACCGAAUGCCCAAAAACACUCCCAAAUAUGUUCUAGUGCAUAUUUAGGAAGAUUGCAUGCGUUCGUUGCGAAAAAAUCCACCCGAGUUUCGCUACCCGGCAAUACUGCAUUCGGGUGUCGAAAUGCACCCGUUUUGCAUCGUUUUUCGUGCCGGAACCAAAUGCACAAAAACACUCCCAAACAUGUUCUAGUGCAUAUUUAGGAAGAUUGCAUGCGUUCGUUGCGAAAAAAUCCACCCGAGUUUCGCUACCCGGCAAUAGUACAUUCGGCUGCCGAAAUGCACCCGUUUUGCAUCAUUUUUCGUGCCUGAAACCGAAUGCCCAAAAACACUCCCAAACAUGUUCUAGUGCAUAUUUAGGAAGAUGGCAUGCGUUCGUUGCGAAAAAAUCCACCCGAGUUUCGCUACCCGGCAAUAGUGCAUUCGGGUGCCGAAAUGCACCCGUUUUGCAUCGUUUUUCGUGCCGGAACCGAAUGCCCAAAAACACUCCCAAACAUGUUCUAGUGCAUAUUUAGGAAGAUUGCAUGCGUUCGUUGCGAAAAAAUCCACCCGAGUUUCGCUACCCGUCAAUACUGCAUUCGGGUGCCGAAAUGCACCCGUUUUGCAUCGUUUUUCGUGCCGGAACCGAAUGCCCAAAAACACUCCCAAACAUGUUCUAGUGCAUAUUUAGGAAGAAUGCAUGCGUUCGUUGCGAAAAAAUCCACCCGAGUUUCGCUACCCGGCAAUAGUACAUUCGGGUGCCGAAAUGCACCCGUUUUGCAUCAUUUUUCGUGCCGGAACCGAAUGCCCAAAAACACUCCCAAACAUGUUCUAGUGCAUAUUUAGGAAGAUUGCAUGCGUUCGUUGCGAAAAAAUCCACCCGAGUUUCGCUACCCGGCAAUAGUGCAUUCGUGUGCCGAAAUGCACCCGUUUUGCAUCGUUUUUCGUGCCGGAACCGAAUGCCCAAAAACACUCCCAAACAUGUUCUAGUGCAUAUUUAGGAAGAUUGCAUGCGUUCGUUGCGAAAAAAUCCACCCGAGUUUCGCUACCCGGCAAU
RNAcentral lists this long non-coding RNA (4173 nucleotides) under Setaria viridis. Its description in RNAcentral is "long non-coding RNA (SVIR_LNC009355)". The record is from RNAcentral. Lineage: Eukaryota; Viridiplantae; Streptophyta; Magnoliopsida; Poales; Poaceae.